Long non-coding RNA from Empidonax traillii (willow flycatcher), 107 nucleotides. RefSeq lists it as uncharacterized. The transcript has 3 exons. The record is from RefSeq and is a predicted model, not a curated record. Lineage: Eukaryota; Metazoa; Chordata; Aves; Passeriformes; Tyrannidae.
AUGAUCCGGUUUUUAAAACUAUUAGAAAUGCCUCUGCCCAAAUAAAGGUGCAAAUGAGACCAGAUGCCAAAGUCAAUAGUAUGGGUUUUAUUUAACAUGAAAUGCAA